This is a small nuclear RNA of Dama dama (fallow deer), 107 nucleotides long. The record is from RefSeq and is a predicted model, not a curated record. Lineage: Eukaryota; Metazoa; Chordata; Mammalia; Artiodactyla; Cervidae.
GUGCUCGCUUCAGCGGCACAUAUACUAAAACUGGAACGAUACAGAGAAGAUUAGCAUGGCCCCUGCGCAAGGAUGACGUGCAAAUUUGUGAAGCGUUCCAUAUUUUU